Gorilla gorilla gorilla (western lowland gorilla) is the source of this 574-nucleotide long non-coding RNA. RefSeq lists it as uncharacterized. Lineage: Eukaryota; Metazoa; Chordata; Mammalia; Primates; Hominidae. The record is from RefSeq and is a predicted model, not a curated record. The transcript is spliced from 3 exons.
GUUGCUGCUGACUCAUACGGAUGUGGACUCAGUGCAGAUGAGAUCAAAAUGUGAUCUGAAUGUACCAAGUAAUACAAAAGCUGAUGAUAUGAACCUGAAUUCUUCCCAAAGGAAGAAAACUGCAAAUGCCAGAGCCCCAAUUUAGGUCUACAUUUUUUUCUAAUUUGUCCACCAACAUUUCUCCAACAAUGAGGAUGUUCUCAUUUUCUCCACAUCCUUCUCAUUAUCUACUUGCAGCUCUCUAAUGAUUAUUAUUAUACUAACCUGUUCAUGGAAAUGCUUUCAUCUAUUUUUUUCUAAUGGAAGCAUACUCACAUUUUUCCAUUUAUUUUUUUCCACUUUCAUCCAAGACAUAAGUUAUCCACCCUCUCCCACAUUCCAUUUUCAAUAUUUGACCUUAAAUAUGUCCACUUGUCAAGAUGACUGACAGCUAACACUAAGACAUCAGGUGCAAUACUGAAAUUUUUUUCGUAAGGAAAAGAUCUUGAAAAAUCUUACUAUACCUUUGAAUAUUUCUGUGUCUUUGAAUAUUCUUUGCCUUAACUCCCUGCAGGACUAGAAACUCCUAACUCUC